Molecule: ribosomal RNA, 1334 nt
Filed under: Staphylococcus aureus
Lineage: Bacteria; Bacillati; Bacillota; Bacilli; Caryophanales; Staphylococcaceae
Description: bacterial SSU rRNA
Rfam family: Bacterial small subunit ribosomal RNA
Source: RNAcentral
AGCUAAUACCGGAUAAUAUUUUGAACCGCAUGGUUCAAAAGUGAAAGACGGUCUUGCUGUCACUUAUAGAUGGAUCCGCGCUGCAUUAGCUAGUUGGUAAGGUAACGGCUUACCAAGGCAACGAUGCAUAGCCGACCUGAGAGGGUGAUCGGCCACACUGGAACUGAGACACGGUCCAGACUCCUACGGGAGGCAGCAGUAGGGAAUCUUCCGCAAUGGGCGAAAGCCUGACGGAGCAACGCCGCGUGAGUGAUGAAGGUCUUCGGAUCGUAAAACUCUGUUAUUAGGGAAGAACAUAUGUGUAAGUAACUGUGCACAUCUUGACGGUACCUAAUCAGAAAGCCACGGCUAACUACGUGCCAGCAGCCGCGGUAAUACGUAGGUGGCAAGCGUUAUCCGGAAUUAUUGGGCGUAAAGCGCGCGUAGGCGGUUUUUUAAGUCUGAUGUGAAAGCCCACGGCUCAACCGUGGAGGGUCAUUGGAAACUGGAAAACUUGAGUGCAGAAGAGGAAAGUGGAAUUCCAUGUGUAGCGGUGAAAUGCGCAGAGAUAUGGAGGAACACCAGUGGCGAAGGCGACUUUCUGGUCUGUAACUGACGCUGAUGUGCGAAAGCGUGGGGAUCAAACAGGAUUAGAUACCCUGGUAGUCCACGCCGUAAACGAUGAGUGCUAAGUGUUAGGGGGUUUCCGCCCCUUAGUGCUGCAGCUAACGCAUUAAGCACUCCGCCUGGGGAGUACGACCGCAAGGUUGAAACUCAAAGGAAUUGACGGGGACCCGCACAAGCGGUGGAGCAUGUGGUUUAAUUCGAAGCAACGCGAAGAACCUUACCAAAUCUUGACAUCCUUUGACAACUCUAGAGAUAGAGCCUUCCCCUUCGGGGGACAAAGUGACAGGUGGUGCAUGGUUGUCGUCAGCUCGUGUCGUGAGAUGUUGGGUUAAGUCCCGCAACGAGCGCAACCCUUAAGCUUAGUUGCCAUCAUUAAGUUGGGCACUCUAAGUUGACUGCCGGUGACAAACCGGAGGAAGGUGGGGAUGACGUCAAAUCAUCAUGCCCCUUAUGAUUUGGGCUACACACGUGCUACAAUGGACAAUACAAAGGGUAGCGAAACCGCGAGGUCAAGCAAAUCCCAUAAAGUUGUUCUCAGUUCGGAUUGUAGUCUGCAACUCGACUACAUGAAGCUGGAAUCGCUAGUAAUCGUAGAUCAGCAUGCUACGGUGAAUACGUUCCCGGGUCUUGUACACACCGCCCGUCACACCACGAGAGUUUGUAACACCCGAAGCCGGUGGAGUAACCUUUUAGGAGCUAGCCGUCGAAGGUGGGACAAAUGAUUGGGG